UACGUAGGGGGCAAGCGUUGUCCGGAAUUAUUGGGCGUAAAGAGCGUGUAGGCGGCCAGAUAAGUCCGCUGUGAAAUCUCGAGGCUCAACUUCGAGCUGUCGGUGGAAACUAUCUGGCUAGAGUCCGGAAGAGGAGAAUGGAAUUCCUGGUGUAGCGGUGAAAUGCGCAGAUAUCAGGAAGAACACCUAUGGCGAAGGCAGCUCUCUGGGACGGUACUGACGCUGAGACGCGAAAGCGCGGGGAGCGAACAGG
RNAcentral lists this ribosomal RNA (253 nucleotides) under uncultured bacterium. Its description in RNAcentral is "partial 16S ribosomal RNA". It matches the Rfam family "Bacterial small subunit ribosomal RNA", at positions 524 to 776 of the family's 1533-position model. The record is from RNAcentral.